GUUCCCUCUCUCGCUGGCUAUCUCUGUUAAAUAAAUAAAUAAAUCUUUAAAAAAAAAAAAUUCUUAUGUUAAGGUUGGCCCUUUAUUCAAUCAUGGUGCUACAAACAUGUUGUCUUUCACCUUUUACCCUAAUGUUCUUUUCAUCCCCCAUUUAAAGCUUUUUAAACAGUCUAAUUUAUUUUCUUUCUGGCUUUCUGGGUUUUGUGUCUUGUUUAGAAAAGCCGUCCUCACUUCAAAAAUAUUUUGUGAAAUUACUUAAUAAUUUCUCCCAGAAUUUUUCUUGGUUAAAUUUAAGACUCUGGAAAUAAUUUUAAGCUAGAAAUCAGUCCUAAUGUUUGUCUUUUCUACUGUUGCUCAGUGAUCCAGCUUCCUGGAAGUUUCAGGACAAUCCAGAUUUCCCAGAUCCCUGGCUUAUUGGCACAUUGCUUGUUGUGACCUAGAACGCCCAAGUCCUCUCCUGUGAACCGAGUUCUUGGUUCAGACCCCAGGGGGAAACUGUGCAGACCAUUCUCACUGGGGCCCCACAGGGACCUGGAUGACCAUGUGACUCAGUCACAGACUGUAGCACUUCCUCUGUAAAUUUGGCUGGCUCCUGCCCCCUCUUCCCUCCCAUCCCAGCUGUGCUGAGCCUUGCCAGCUCUUCUCUGAGGAAAUUUGCAUCAUGCAGCAGCCGGAGGACUCUUGAGGACCGCUUCGCUGAGCCAUGGUCUGUUCAGCUGCCCCUGUGCUACUCCUGGCCAUGACUCUCCCCCUGGUGGGGUCACCAGUUGUGCAAGCAUCCCAACCUGGACAGAGUCAGGCUGGAGGGGAAUCGGGACAGCAACUGGACCAAAGGAGUGGAGCAGCAGCUGCCCCCUCUGCUCCUGUAGAAUCAGUCCUGGCCUCAGUCUAUGUACAGCUGGACUUGUCAAAUCAGACCUGGCCACUGGCGCUCUCCAAGACCCUGACUCACCCCCUUGCCUCGGAUUCCUCUUUCUCAAGAACUCUCACUGGCCUCAGCCUCACGACAGGUAGGGGGGAUUGUAAGG
Molecule: long non-coding RNA, 1028 nt
Filed under: Ursus americanus (American black bear)
Lineage: Eukaryota; Metazoa; Chordata; Mammalia; Carnivora; Ursidae
Description: lncRNA (ENSUAMG00000008863.1)
Source: RNAcentral